AGGGCAGGGAUGGGGACCAGGGCUGGCCCACCUAUGAGGCUAGGUAAAGCAACUAUCUCAGGUGGCAGGACCCCCAGGGGCAGCAGAUCCAUGUGUUGAUCUUUCUUUCCCUCUCAUUCCCUUCUUCCCUGGCGAGGAGGGGUACCAUUUUGGGGUUUGCCUCAUGUGACAAAAUGUCUUGGAUCAGCCCUGUGGGGAACCAUCCAGAUAUUGUUGGACUCCAGCAUGCAUCAGUCUCAUCCAGCAUAACCAGUAGACAGGGAUGAUGGGAGUUUUAGCUCAGCAGCACCUGGAAGGACAUAGGUCCUCCAUCCCUGAUAAAGAAAAAGCUUACUAAGACAUGGAAAGUAAAUGUUUUGAAAUAAGAAUAAUCCUGGGUUUCAUACGCUGCAAAAUGCAAUUUAUACAAUGAAUAGCUUUUAUUACAUGAAUUCUGUGUAAGAGGAUUUGUGUAGUCAAAGAGAUUCUCUGUAUCAAUUAAUAGACUAACUUAUCAUACCUUGAAGUCACACUAUAUUCACAGCAAAGCAUACCAAGUGGUAGGCCACAUAAGGAAAUGAUUAAUAGGUCAACCAAAUUACCCAAGGAAUAUUAAAACUUUUAUUAUUGCACAGUUUAAUUAAAGCUGUUAAAUUCUUGCAAGGCUUUUAUAUUAUAAUGUUCAAAUCUUUGGCCUACAUAUUCUAGAGUAAUUCCAUUGGCCAGUAGGGACUAUACCAUGAUAAAGCAGUUUGAGGAUUGCAACCCAUAUUUUUAUUGGGUGAGCGCACAUAAAGUGAUUUGAACUAACUACUACUUCUCUGUAACUUCUUCCUAAAACUUUACAGAAUGAGGGAACACUUGAAGAUUAAUUCCUCUACUAAAGCCAAUUAGCCCAUUAAUGUGACAGUGCUGGGUCUGAGAAAUCAAUGUGAUACCCAAAUAACUUAUGUAACUUUGAUAACUGCCGUUGUAACUUAAGAACUCUGUCAGCAAAAUUGGCAACUUUAAUUACUUUGGCAUGCCCAUCCUGAGCUUAUGAGCGCAUCCUGAUUAGAACUGAUGAGCCUUGAUUAAUGGAAAGCCUAAAAGGUUAGAAAGUUGUAUUAAAGAAGUAAAGAGAAUCUUAAUUAUCUUGUAAGUUUUUCUGUGGGCCUUUUUUCUAGAUGGGGAAUGUGUAUCAGCAGUGAAAGAUAAGAGUAAAAUCUUUCUUUCCAUUCCAUUCCAUUCUUUUAGGAGCUUUAUUUAGAUAUCAGCAGUGCAUUCAAGGGAACACAUAAGAGAUUUUUACUGCUUCAAGUAUCUGGUUGCCAUGAGGCAAAUGCACUUUUAGAAUCUUAAGCUAGUAGGAGUCUGAAGGGAGAGGAAUAUAAUCCAACAAAAUUCCACUCCUUCUUCCAAGAUCCUAUAUGGCGGGGAGGGGUGUUAAUGGUUGGUUCUUGUUCUUGUUUUUAUUAUGUAUUUUUAUUUUUGUGUUGCGAACGACUCAAUCUGUGGUGCUCCAAAUUUUUAGACUAAAAUAACCAUACUCUGUGGCCAUUGACUAUGCUGCUAGGAGAUGUAGCCCCAAACAUCUGGAAGGCACCAGGAUGGGGAAGGUUGGUGUAUAUACUAAUUUCCCUAGUAGUCUAUCUUCUAAAAUACAGUGCUGUAAAUUCUGUGAAUCCUGCAAAUGCAGGCCUGUGAGUUAGACAAUUCUGACACCCUUUCAGUCAAAUAUAGUAGUGGAAAAUUUUAUGAGCAGUGCCACCCACCUGACCUCCAGUUGGUCACAUUGCUGCUCUUUACCUGGAGGUAGAGUGAGAGUGGAGAGGUGUUGCAAGGUUGACAUGGUGCCAAUGCACUGGUGGAGCCACUCUGGUGCUCCUGCUAGUGCAUUUGCCCUGCACCUUCUUUCCUGCUGCCUCUGCUUCCUGGUAAGCGACAAUGAUGUGACCAUCUGGCCUUCAGCUGAACAGCAGUGUUCCACUGUGCCAUCUACUACUAGUUAAAUGACCAAUAAAUGUUUUCAUGUAGUGAUAUGUAUUGGUGUCAAGGACAACUGUUAGUUUCUCCUUGCUUGCAUUUUGCACAAAAUUAUUUCUCAGCUCUGAGGAUAAUGUCGUGUAAUGUCAUGUAAAGGGUUAAUAAUGAAAAAGCAAUAAAUAAACCCACAGACUAAAUCCAAUGACAGAAGAAACUAGUGGGCACACAGUAUCUGGAAAGGAAGAGGACAAAAACAAGUAAAUUGCAGCCCCAAAUACCAAAAGGUCACUAUGUGCUUCUCUUUUUAUAUCUCCUCACCAGUUGUGCAAAUACAUUUAACUGGGGCCGAGGAAAGAGGGUGUGCAGCAUCAACAAGGAGAGUUGCUGGCAUCCAUCUGUCUCAAUAGACAAUGGAAUGCGCCUCUGGGGGAGAAGUCAAACCUCUCAUUAGCAACACCGAAGUGACCACUCUCGGGAGUAAGUCUUGGCAGUGUGUAGGGAGGUCCUGGGCUGUCCAGGCAACAGGACCCCCCUCUCAGCCUCACUGAUGUGGUCCGAAGGAAAGCAGAGUGAUAUGUUUGGCACCAGCUUGGCUUCAGGAAUUGCCCGAAGGAGGCAUACAAGGCGCCAUCCAACCGUCCUAGGGAUUCCACUCUAGAUCUGUGUAGGGUUUACUCCUUAGCCUUUUCUCCUCCCAAAAAUAUCCCACAAGGUAGCAACAAGGAAAGGGUACUCAGGAAUGAUCAUAGAGUUUGUCAAUACUGACCUUAGGAUGCAACCAAGGGGCUGAUAGUUAUUACAAUUGAACUGACACAGAGACCAAGAGUGUCAGCUGUUGUGCAAGUCUCUGUUUUUACCUCCAGAUAUAGAUUCUGCUGAAGGGUCAACCUAGUAAAUGUCAUUUAUUUCGGUAGGGACCAUAUAUGCAGCCAGUAACUGCAAUUCAAAAUGGCUUUUGGGCAAAGUACUUUAAAACUUACCCAUGUCUCUCUCUUAUGCAGACACAGGACUUUAUUAUCUGUGAAUGUUAAACAUGUUAAUUAAUUAAAUGGGCAUUAAUGAUUGCAAGAUUGUCUAUAAGAUGUGAUAAGAAAAUGCUUACUCUGUCAUUCUAAUAAUUCACUCCACCUGCCUUCUGUCAAGAUAAUCUUCAUUGGUAAUUAGUUAAAGGCAGAGCAAAAAUACUACAAAAUGCAGUUACAGACCUCAAUGUGUUAUAUUGCAAAGACCGGUUGAAGGUGGGUGGAAGGAUGGAUUGAUAUGUAGACAUAAUAUUAGGAUAAACUAAUAGUCUGGUGCUUCAGAAUUAAUGUAUCAGACACGAGCAGCUACACACAUUACAGAAUUCAAGGAGAAUGAGAAGAAGUAUGAGAGAGUUGCUUUAUAGGUAUAGUGUUAUAUCAACACUGGGGAGAUGUUCAACUUGCCAACUAAGUUGUUUCAUAAAAAGAGGAAGCAUAAAUCCACCUCCCACUUACUUAAGCCUGUAUGGAACACAUAAAACCAGCACUAGAGCUAUUGAUGACAUGCUGGUAUCAAAAUGGAUCUAGCAGCAACCAUCAGCAAUGCUCUGGUAUCCAUCGUCCCUGUCCUGAAAGCAGCAUUACAGUGCUAUAUAGAAGCCACUGAAUCUUACUUCUGAAUAUGGGCCAAGUAGCAGACAGAAAAUCUGAAGGAAGAUAUUGCUGUAUCUUGUUAUUGUCAUUGUUAAAUUUGAGCCCCACCCUUCAUCGUAGAUCUCAUGGCAGUUUGCAACAU
Non-coding RNA from Podarcis lilfordi (Lilford's wall lizard), 3702 nucleotides. The record is from the annotation of a GenBank genome assembly. NCBI's taxonomy places the organism in Eukaryota, Metazoa, Chordata, Lepidosauria, Squamata, Lacertidae.